AACAAACCCUGAUAAUCUCACCCAGCUUCAAGACCAAGGGAGUCCUAGUGUCAUGGAGAAGAGCAAGGAGGGGCCCAGGGCUGCCGGACAUGCCACUCCAGACAGAACUCAACUUCCCUAGUGACUAUUGGCUAUCCAACCUCUCCUCCAGAAGAUAGAUGUCUACCAACUAGGAAGAGAGCCCUCACCAGGAACCAAAUCUGCUGACACCUGGAUCUUGAACUUCCC
RNAcentral lists this long non-coding RNA (228 nucleotides) under Homo sapiens (human). Its description in RNAcentral is "HSALNT0366482". Lineage: Eukaryota; Metazoa; Chordata; Mammalia; Primates; Hominidae. The record is from RNAcentral.